This is a non-coding RNA of Xenopus tropicalis (tropical clawed frog), 166 nucleotides long. Lineage: Eukaryota; Metazoa; Chordata; Amphibia; Anura; Pipidae. The record is from Ensembl.
CAGAGUUUAUCUAACGUUUCGGCUACCACUGCAGUCUUUGAGAAAGGCUGCAGUGGUAGCCGAAACGUUAGAUAAACUCUGUAAGUAAAAUAAAUUUUGAUCUUUUUAAGUCCUGUGAGUGCGGUACCGUUUAUCUUCGUAUAUAUAUAUAUAUAUAUAUAUAUAU